AACGAACGCUGGCGGCAUGCCUAACACAUGCAAGUCGAACGAGACCUUCGGGUCUAGUGUCGCACGGGUUCGUAACGCGUGGGAACCUUCCCUUAGGUUCGGAAUAACUCCCCGAAUGGGGUGCUAAUACCGGAUCAUGUCUUCGGACCAAAGAUUUAUCGCCUUUGGAUGGUCCCGCGUUGGAUUAGCUAGUUGUUAGGGUAAAAGCCUACCACGGCGACGAUCCAUAGCUGGUAUGAGAGGAUGAUCAGCCACACUGGGACUGAGAAACGGCCGAGACUCCUACGGGAGGGAGGAGAGGGGAAUAGAGGACAAUGGGGGAAAGGAUGAACCAGCAAUGACGCGUGAGUGAUGAAGGCAGUAGGGAAGUAAAGCGCUUUUAACCGGGAUGAUAAUGACAGUACCGGGAGAAUAAGCUACGGCUAACUCCGUG
This 433-nucleotide ribosomal RNA is filed under the name uncultured bacterium. Its description in RNAcentral is "partial 16S ribosomal RNA". It matches the Rfam family "Bacterial small subunit ribosomal RNA", at positions 29 to 507 of the family's 1533-position model. The record is from RNAcentral.